Paralichthys olivaceus (Japanese flounder) is the source of this 483-nucleotide non-coding RNA. The record is from RefSeq and is a predicted model, not a curated record. NCBI's taxonomy places the organism in Eukaryota, Metazoa, Chordata, Actinopteri, Pleuronectiformes, Paralichthyidae.
CAGGUUUGAUAAGUUGGUCUACGUGGGAAUCAACGAGGAUCGAGUCUCUCAGCUUCAAGUCCUUCAGGCCAUCCUCAGAAAGUUUCAGUUGGACCCCGCGGUGAACCUGGAGGAGGUGGUGGACAGUUGUCCCGCCCACAUGACCGGCGCUGACCUUUACGCUCUGUGUUCAGACGCCAUGACGGCCGCCAUCAAGAGGAAGAUCUCUCGAAUUGACGAAGGUGUGGACUCGGAGGACUCACCUGUCGUCCUCUCUGCUGACGACUUCUCUGCAUCGUUAGAAAACUUCAAACCAUCGGUUUCUGAACAGGAGCUGCUCCGAUACAAAAACAUCCAACAGAAACUCACUGUGACGUAGAAUCACAGAAAAAACGUUCACAUGAAACUUUGUAAAAUAAUGUACAUCAAUCAAAUGUUUGUAAUUUUCAAGUUAAUUUAUGAAAUCAAUAAAAAUGAGAACAGAUUGAAACUGAAUUGCUGCUA